RNAcentral lists this ribosomal RNA (750 nucleotides) under Pyricularia grisea. Its description in RNAcentral is "partial large subunit ribosomal RNA". It matches the Rfam family "Eukaryotic large subunit ribosomal RNA", at positions 76 to 854 of the family's 3401-position model. The record is from RNAcentral. Lineage: Eukaryota; Fungi; Ascomycota; Sordariomycetes; Magnaporthales; Pyriculariaceae.
UGCCCCAGUAACGGCGAGUGAAGCGGCAACAGCUCAAAUCUGAAAUCUGGCCCCCCGGGCCCGAGUUGUAAUUUGCAGAGGAUGCUUUUGGUGAGGCACCUACCGAGUCCCCUGGAAUGGGGCGCCAUAGAGGGUGAGAGCCCCGUAUGGUAGGACGCCGAACCUCUGUAAAGCUCCUUCGACGAGUCGAGUAGUUUGGGAAUGCUGCUCUAAAUGGGAGGUAAAUUUCUUCUAAAGCUAAAUACCGGCCAGAGACCGAUAGCGCACAAGUAGAGUGAUCGAAAGAUGAAAAGCACUUUGAAAAGAGGGUUAAAAAGUACGUGAAAUUGUUGAAAGGGAAGCGCUUGUGACCAGACUUGCGCCGGGCGGAUCAUCCAGCGUUCUCGCUGGUGCACUCCGCCCGGUUCAGGCCAGCAUCGGUUUUCGCCGGGGGACAAAGGCUUCGGGAACGUGGCUCCUUUCGGGGAGUGUUAUAGCCCGUUGCGUAAUACCCCGGCGGGGACCGACGACCGCGCUUCGGCAAGGAUGCUGGCGUAAUGGUCAUCAGCGACCCGUCUUGAAACACGGACCGAGGAGUCAAGCAUUAGUGCGAGUGUUUGGGUGUAAAACCCGCACGCGUAAUGAAAGUGAACGUAGGUGAGAGCUUCGGCGCAUCAUCGACCGAUCCUGAUGUUUUCGGAAGGAUUUGAGUAGGAGCAUUAACGCUUGGACCCGAAAGAUGGUGAACUAUACUUGAAUAGGGUGAAGCCA